RNAcentral lists this ribosomal RNA (494 nucleotides) under Staphylococcus aureus. Its description in RNAcentral is "partial 23S ribosomal RNA". It matches the Rfam family "Bacterial large subunit ribosomal RNA", at positions 2429 to 2925 of the family's 2925-position model. The record is from RNAcentral. Lineage: Bacteria; Bacillati; Bacillota; Bacilli; Caryophanales; Staphylococcaceae.
CCGCAUGGAAGGGCCAUCGCUCAACGGAUAAAAGCUACCCCGGGGAUAACAGGCUUAUCUCCCCCAAGAGUUCACAUCGACGGGGAGGUUUGGCACCUCGAUGUCGGCUCAUCGCAUCCUGGGGCUGUAGUCGGUCCCAAGGGUUGGGCUGUUCGCCCAUUAAAGCGGUACGCGAGCUGGGUUCAGAACGUCGUGAGACAGUUCGGUCCCUAUCCGUCGUGGGCGUAGGAAAUUUGAGAGGAGCUGUCCUUAGUACGAGAGGACCGGGAUGGACAUACCUCUGGUGUACCAGUUGUCGUGCCAACGGCAUAGCUGGGUAGCUAUGUGUGGACGGGAUAAGUGCUGAAAGCAUCUAAGCAUGAAGCCCCCCUCAAGAUGAGAUUUCCCAACUUCGGUUAUAAGAUCCCUCAAAGAUGAUGAGGUUAAUAGGUUCGAGGUGGAAGCAUGGUGACAUGUGGAGCUGACGAAUACUAAUCGAUCGAAGACUUAAUCAA